Molecule: ribosomal RNA, 253 nt
Filed under: uncultured bacterium
Lineage: Bacteria
Description: partial 16S ribosomal RNA
Rfam family: Bacterial small subunit ribosomal RNA
Source: RNAcentral
UACGGGGGGGGCAAGCGUUGUUCGGAAUUACUGGGCGUAAAGGGCGCGUAGGCGGUUGGAUAAGUCAGCUGUGAAAACCACGGGCUUAACUCGUGGCCUGCAGUUGAGACUGUCUGGCUUGAGUAUGGCAGAGGGGGGUGGAAUUCCGCGUGUAGCAGUGAAAUGCGUAGAGAUGUGGAGGAACACCGAUGGCGAAGGCAGCCUCCUGGGCCAGCACUGACGCUCAUGCACGAAAGCGUGGGGAGCAAACAGG